GCCUCUGUAGCUCAGUUGGUUAGAGCGCUGCACCGGAAUUGCAGGACCGUGGGUUCAAUUCCUACCAGAGGAC
RNAcentral lists this transfer RNA (73 nucleotides) under Paramuricea clavata. It matches the Rfam family "tRNA". From Rfam's summary of the family: Transfer RNA (tRNA) molecules are approximately 80 nucleotides in length. Their secondary structure includes four short double-helical elements and three loops (D, anti-codon, and T loops). Further hydrogen bonds mediate the characteristic L-shaped molecular structure. tRNAs have two regions of fundamental functional importance: the anti-codon, which is responsible for specific mRNA codon recognition, and the 3' end, to which the tRNAs corresponding amino acid is attached (by aminoacyl-tRNA synthetases). tRNAs cope with the degeneracy of the genetic code in two manners: having more than one tRNA (with a specific anti-codon) for a particular amino acid; and 'wobble' base-pairing, i.e. permitting non-standard base-pairing at the 3rd anti-codon position. Lineage: Eukaryota; Metazoa; Cnidaria; Anthozoa; Malacalcyonacea; Plexauridae. The record is from Rfam by way of RNAcentral.